RNAcentral lists this non-coding RNA (21 nucleotides) under Caenorhabditis elegans. The record is from RNAcentral. Lineage: Eukaryota; Metazoa; Nematoda; Chromadorea; Rhabditida; Rhabditidae.
UUUUCAUCGUUUUUUAUAUAU